This 370-nucleotide ribosomal RNA is filed under the name uncultured eukaryote. RNAcentral describes it as "partial 18S ribosomal RNA". It matches the Rfam family "Eukaryotic small subunit ribosomal RNA", at positions 592 to 976 of the family's 1831-position model. The record is from RNAcentral.
CAAUAGCGUAUAUUAAAGUUGUUGCAGUUAAAAAGCUCGUAGUUGGAUUUCUGGUCGGAAGCUCCUGUCCUCUGAUGAGCUUACAAGUGCGUCCUACCAUCCUUCUGUUAACCUUUAAGGCUUUCGCGGCUUUCUAGGGGCUCAGAUAUUUUACCUUGAGAAAAUUAGAGUGUUUCAGGCAGGCUAGCGCCGGAAUACAUUAGCAUGGAAUAAUGGAAUAGGACUUUUGCCUCUUCUGUUGGUCAUGAGGCUCGAGUAAUGAUUAAUAGGGAUAGUUGGGGGCAUUAGUACUUAACUGUCAGAGGUGAAAUUCUCGGAUUUGUUAAAGACUAACUUAUGCGAAAGCAUUUGCCAAGGAUGUUUUCAUUAA